GGGGGGGGGGGGGGGGGGGGGGGGCGGGGGCGGGGCGAGCGGAGGGGCGCGGCUUUUGUGGGGGGCUCGGGUGGCGAGCGGGUGGGUAACACGUGAGUCCCCUGCCCUUGACUUUGGGUUAACUUCAGGCACCUGGGGCUAAUACCGGAUCUGAGCUCCUGCUGCUUGGUUGGGGGUGUACCGUUUCGGCGGUUGGGGAUGGACUCGCGGCUUAUCAGCUUUUUGGUGGGGUAGUGUCUUACCACGGCUCUGACGGUUAGCCGGGCUGAGAGGGUGACCGGCAACAUUGGGAAUGAGAUACGGCCCAGACUCCUACGGGAGGAAGCAGUGGGGAAUAUUGCAGAAAGGGCGGAAGACUGAGGCAGCAACGCCGCGUGCGGGAUGACGGCCUUCGGGUUGUAAACCGCUGUCGACUGUGACGAAGCGUGAGUGACGGUAAUGGGUAAAGAAGCACCGGCUAACUACGUG
RNAcentral lists this ribosomal RNA (468 nucleotides) under uncultured bacterium. RNAcentral describes it as "partial 16S ribosomal RNA". It matches the Rfam family "Bacterial small subunit ribosomal RNA", at positions 39 to 507 of the family's 1533-position model. The record is from RNAcentral.